CCUACGGGAGGCUGCAGUGAGGAAUAUUGGUCAAUGGCCGGAAGGCUGAACCAGCCAUGCCGCGUGAAGGUCAGUGCCCUAUGGGCGUUAAACUUCUUUUGUGCGGGAGCAAUAAUGGUCACGUGUGGCCAGACGAGAGUACCGUACGAAUAAGCAUCGGCUAACUCCGUGCCAGCAGCCGCGGUAAUACGGGGGAUGCAAGCGUUAUCCGGAUUUAUUGGGUUUAAAGGGUGCGUAGGCUGUGAGGUAAGUCAGCGGUGAAAUGCCCCCGCUCAACGGGGUGAAGUGCCAUUGAUACUGCCUUGCUGGAAUGCGGAUGCCGUGGGAGGAAUGUGUGGUGUAGCGGUGAAAUGCAUAGAUAUCACACAGAACACCGAUUGCGAAGGCGGCCGCCUGGCCUGUUGCUGACGCUGAGGCACGAAAGCGUGGGGAGCAAAUAGGAUUAGAUACCCCUGUAGUC
This 460-nucleotide ribosomal RNA is filed under the name uncultured bacterium. RNAcentral's name for it is "partial 16S ribosomal RNA". It matches the Rfam family "Bacterial small subunit ribosomal RNA", at positions 338 to 795 of the family's 1533-position model. The record is from RNAcentral.